ACUUUGAAUGACUCUAAGUUGGAAUGAUUGACAGGCACGGAACUAGGGUGCGGCAGGAUUGUGCUGCAUUUGGGAGUAAGAUCAGAAGCUGUGUGGAAAGCAGUGAGGUUGGGUUUAACCUCAAUGGCCUGAGCAAAGUAGCUUUAUGUAAAUUUGGUUGUGAAAUUAUGGCGACUUCAAUGAGAAAGGAAGAAACCUAGUAGCUCGCGAAGUGUUUUAUCUAUUGCUUGGCUUUCAUUUUAGAGAGAAUCUUGCGUAGGGCAUCCGCACGAAACACGUGGUGGGGAGGACCAAUCACUGUCCAGCAGGGGGGUGUUUUGGGUAUUGCACUUUAGAGAGCAAGGGCAGUUUCGGAAAAGAUGGAAAAUUUGCUUGCUUCUGAUUGAAUGGCCGUAAGGCCACGUGGUGGGGAAACCCCCACCUAAGUAUUUGUCUUCAUUUUAUUCUCUUUCAAGUAUGCUUGUCUGUCCAACCUCGCAUGCAUAUCAAUUAUCAAGCACUUCAAACUAACGACUAUGGCUUCUUGUAUAAUUUUUUACUGCUUUGCAACUAAUUCAGAACUCUAUCAAUUUCUGCAGACA
Molecule: long non-coding RNA, 581 nt
Organism: Rosa rugosa (rugosa rose)
Lineage: Eukaryota; Viridiplantae; Streptophyta; Magnoliopsida; Rosales; Rosaceae
Exons: 2
Source: RefSeq, a predicted model, not a curated record